RNAcentral lists this transfer RNA (76 nucleotides) under Deltaproteobacteria bacterium. Its description in RNAcentral is "tRNA-Glu". It matches the Rfam family "tRNA". Rfam says of the family: Transfer RNA (tRNA) molecules are approximately 80 nucleotides in length. The record is from RNAcentral. RNAcentral also lists the same sequence under 1 other name. Lineage: Bacteria; Pseudomonadati; Myxococcota; Myxococcia.
GGUCCCAUCGUCUAGAGGCCUAGGACACUGCCCUCUCACGGCAGCGACACGGGUUCGACUCCCGUUGGGACUACCA